UGUAGCAUCAACGUGACACGGGCACCCCCGGGACUCAACCUUCUCGGUGUCUCCCCGCUCGCAGGGUGGCUCAAGCGAGUCCUUGAAGCUGCGUAUGUCCCUGCCAUCAACGAUGCCCUGAACGUGUCGGUCCCUCUGCCCAACACCCUCAACGCCAGCCUCAGGGAGGCCCAGGUGGACGUCACCGAUGCAGACGAUUCUCUCCACCAAACGGCUCUGAAGGGAUCCUGCUCGGGAGGGGCCCUGGCCCAGCUCAGGGGCUGAGGCAGGCGCCGUGCCCGGCCCCUCUCUGCUCCUUCCAGCUCUGUUUUCCCUCAAGCGACCCCCUGCGCUGCCGCUGUGGCCCGGGAGGGACAUGGGGACACAGGUGACCGUCUCCGGUCCGUCCUGGCACGGCGGCUGGGCUGUGGGUGUUGGGGGGUUCUGCGGUCCCUCCUCACGUCCGCAGCCAGGAAGCUGAGCUCUUCCUUAGGCAUAAGGGUUGCUCUCAUAUUGCUCCUUCAAUAAAAUCUCUGUCUGUCUCAGUA
Long non-coding RNA from Athene cunicularia (burrowing owl), 527 nucleotides. RefSeq lists it as uncharacterized. The transcript is spliced from 4 exons. NCBI's taxonomy places the organism in Eukaryota, Metazoa, Chordata, Aves, Strigiformes, Strigidae. The record is from RefSeq and is a predicted model, not a curated record.